Molecule: long non-coding RNA, 1172 nt
Organism: Xenopus laevis (African clawed frog)
Lineage: Eukaryota; Metazoa; Chordata; Amphibia; Anura; Pipidae
Exons: 3
Source: RefSeq, a predicted model, not a curated record
GAGGCAAAGUACGUGGAGCUGGUGUAAGUGGCAGAUAACACAGAGGUGAGUGCUGGGGGCGGAGUCACCAUUUCCAUGGAGUAACAUUGAUUCUCCCUCUAGUACAAGAUGUUCAACAGCGACAUCAAGAGUCUGCACCUCCGAAUGCUGGAAAUCGCCAACAAGGUGGACGCGGCUCCGCCCCUGCGCCGGACCCCUGCUUCAGCAAAGUGGACAUUAGAGGAGAGAAAUACGGAAACUGCGGCCGAUCUCCAAAUGGGACUUACCUGCCUUGUGCCGACAGGUCUGCUACGCCACCCCCACAUUCAGAAAGAAGCCAACAGGUGCUGAUUGGACGUGUUGGAGACACAAGGAGAGGACAGACCUGAAGCCUCAGACCUUGGACUCCCAAGAAUUCCCAUUGUGGGUGCUGGGCCCCCACCUGCUGUUCUACAGACUUGAUGGGAUGUAUUUGGGGUGCAGAGGAUUUAGGGCCUGGGUACCCUGUGAAAACUUUUAGACUAAUCGCCUCUGGGAGCUCAAAAUGACACAAACAUUCCUACUGGCCCUGGACUCCCCCUUUUCUUCCCUCUGCCUGGGCUUAUGGGGGUGUCCCGGGGCCCAUAGUCCUGCUGUGUCAGUGGCCCCAUGGCUUGUAUUUAUGUGACGUGAGUGUGAGUGUGAGUGUGAGUGUGCAAGGGAGAUUGAGUCUGUGCAAUAACAGGAGGCCCUAUGGUUGGCAGGGCCCCAGGACGAGUGCUGCUUUUUAUAAUAAAUCUUUCUGGAGAGAAUUCUUGGAAGAACAAAUUAUUUCAAAUGAUUUGAGAAUAAAAGGGACAACGAAACCUCAUGUUUCUGCUCGGAAAAAAAUUGUUACCCCUUUAGCUGUUCCUCAGAGCUGCGAGGAGCUUACACUUUCCCCAAAUGGUUCAUGGGAGAAUUACUUUGAUUAAUGUUCCCUACAGAGUGUCACUGCUCCCUGUUGAAUGUCAUAUAAGUGUAAUUACUUUCCAUGAGCAGCAGGUGGCAGUGUCAUUGCUCAUUACAGAAUGUUAUAUAAGUGUAAUUGCUUUCCAUGAACAGCAGGUGGCGGUGUCAUUGUUACUUACAGAAUGUCAUAUAAGUGUAAUUACUUUCCAUGAGCAGCAGGUGGCAGUGUCAUUGCUUCUUACAGAAUGUUAAUUAAGUGUAAU